Bactrocera oleae (olive fruit fly) is the source of this 570-nucleotide long non-coding RNA. RefSeq lists it as uncharacterized. The record is from RefSeq and is a predicted model, not a curated record. NCBI's taxonomy places the organism in Eukaryota, Metazoa, Arthropoda, Insecta, Diptera, Tephritidae.
AUAUGGAUUCGAUGCGAGCGAAGCCGCGGGAAAAAGCUAGUAUAACAUAAAUUUGAAAUUUUAAAGUUCAGUUUCCUUAGAAAACUUCUGAUCGGGCAAUCUGUUGUAACGAAUCUAUGCAAAACUGGCCAUCUUUGAAAGGUCCAUUGGCAAUUAAAAGUAUAAGUCAUCUAAUUACCGCUCGCCGAUUAUUUAUUUUACUACAUUUCUUGGAGCAACCAUUAAAAUCGAUCCCGUUUAAAUAUCAAUAUACAUAAUUACUUGAAAAUCGGAUAACGCUGUCGAAUCACUUACUACUGCCAUCUUCAGAUGCAACAUCACUUUUCGAAUCUUCUAUGCCGUCUCCUGUGCAGCUCGACACCGGGCUUGAUGUUAAUAAUUCUACUCGUGAUUGCACUUCAAUAUUGAUCUCACUUUCAACUUCUAAAUGUUCAACAUUUUUACAUUGUGUCACAGGUUCUGGGGCAUUUUUAUUCGAAUCACUUAACGCCGAAAAAUAUUCACUACAUUUGCCUGUAUUUGGUUUCGAUAAUAUAUUAUCAAUUGAAAAAUUAUUCUGAAAACAACGAA